This 394-nucleotide unclassified non-coding RNA is filed under the name Asperula arvensis. Its description in RNAcentral is "partial external transcribed spacer". Lineage: Eukaryota; Viridiplantae; Streptophyta; Magnoliopsida; Gentianales; Rubiaceae. The record is from RNAcentral.
GUCGGACCUGCCUGUGCAGCGACGAUUAUUCAUGCGUUCCUCUUCAAGUCUAGGCACAAGUGCUAUCUAGCCUUGGCCGAAACUCGGGUUUCCUGUAUUGCAUACCUACUCGACGGAAUUUCUAGUUGCCUAUCGAACGAUCGCCUAAUGCCACCCUAGCCGGUGGUUGCGGGUGAUCCACAAAGCGGGACUGCGAUCCUCGAUGCAGAGUACUCCUACCCAUUGCCAUCGAGGCCCGUGUUUCUUCGCUCGGACUGAGGGAUUCGGUGCAUGCAGUGGGCAUUGGUUCUCUUCUAAAAUCCUUUUAAGGCACCAAAAUCAAAAACAAUCCAAACAACUUCCAACGGGGUGCGGCUUCUGGCCCCCCACCUCAUUUUCCCCAAGGAAGGCUCCC